CUACGGGAGGCAGCAGUGGGGAAUAUUGGGCAAUGGGCGAAAGCCUGACCCAGCAACGCCGCGUGAAGGAAGAAGGCUUUCGGGCCGUAAACUUCUAUCCCAGGUGAAGAUAAUGACGGUAGCCUGGAAGGAAGCCCCGGCUAACUACGUGCCAGCAGCCGCGGUAAUACGUAGGGGGCAAGCGUUGUCCGGAAUGAUUGGGCGUAAAGGGCGCGUAGGCGGCCCUUUAAGUCCGAUGUGAAAGUCCUGCUUUUAAGGUGGGAAUCGCAUUGGAAACUGGAGGGCUUGAGUGCAGGAGAGGUAAGUGGAAUUCCCGGUGUAGCGGUGAAAUGCGUAGAGAUCGGGAGGAACACCAGUGGCGAAGGCGACUUACUGGACUGUAACUGACGCUGAGGCGCGAAAGUGUGGGGAGCAAACAGGAUUAGAUACCCCUGUAGUC
RNAcentral lists this ribosomal RNA (439 nucleotides) under uncultured bacterium. Its description in RNAcentral is "partial 16S ribosomal RNA". It matches the Rfam family "Bacterial small subunit ribosomal RNA", at positions 339 to 795 of the family's 1533-position model. The record is from RNAcentral.